This 239-nucleotide long non-coding RNA is filed under the name Homo sapiens (human). RNAcentral's name for it is "long non-coding RNA NONHSAT139145.2". The record is from RNAcentral. Lineage: Eukaryota; Metazoa; Chordata; Mammalia; Primates; Hominidae.
UGGCAAAGCAGCAGAAAGAGUCUGAAUCCACCCAGAAGGCAGAGAAGGAAGUGACGCGCAUGGUGGUGGUGAUGGUCCUGGCAUUCUGCUUCUGCUGGGGACCAUACGCCUUCUUCGCAUGCUUUGCUGCUGCCAACCCUGGCUACCCCUUCCACCCUUUGAUGGCUGCCCUGCCGGCCUUCUUUGCCAAAAGUGCCACUAUCUACAACCCCGUUAUCUAUGUCUUUAUGAACCGGCAG